GAAGGCGUAUGCACGCAGUCUGAUGGAGCACGCCGCGUGAGUGAAGAAGGCUUUCGGGUCGUAAAACUCUGUUGUUGGAGAAGAAUGGUCGGCAGAGUAACUGUUGUCGGCGUGACGGUAUCCAACCAGAAAGCCACGGCUAACUACGUGCCAGCAGCCGCGGUAAUACGUAGGUGGCAAGCGUUAUCCGGAUUUAUUGGGCGUAAAGCGAGCGCAGGCGGUUUUUUAAGUCUGAUGUGAAAGCCCUCGGCUUAACCGAGGAAGUGCAUCGGAAACUGGGAAACUUGAGUGCAGAAGAGGACAGUGGAACUCCAUGUGUAGCGGUGAAAUGCGUAGAUAUAUGGAAGAACACCAGUGGCGAAGGCGGCUGUCUGGUCUGUAACUGACGCUGAGGCUCGAAAGCAUGGGUAGCGAACAGGAUUAGAUACCCUCGUAGUCCA
RNAcentral lists this ribosomal RNA (440 nucleotides) under Lacticaseibacillus rhamnosus. Its description in RNAcentral is "bacterial SSU rRNA". It matches the Rfam family "Bacterial small subunit ribosomal RNA", at positions 359 to 797 of the family's 1533-position model. Lineage: Bacteria; Bacillati; Bacillota; Bacilli; Lactobacillales; Lactobacillaceae. The record is from RNAcentral.